AAUCAACGCUGGCGGCGUGCCUCAGACAUGCAAGUCGAACGAUUAAACUUUCCUUCGGGAAAGAUAUAAAGUGGCGCACGGGUGAGUAACACGUAGGUAAUGUACCUUUGGGUGGGGAAGUAACUUAGGGAACUUAAGCUAAUACCGCAUAAUGCAGCGGCUCCUUCGGGAGAUUGGUUGUUAAAGAUUAUCGCCUAAAGAGCAGCCUGCGGCAGAUUAGCUAGUUGGUAAGGUAACGGCUUACCAAGGCAACGAUCUGUAUCCGACCUGAGAGGUGGUCGGACGACACUGACACUGAAUAACGGGUCAGACUCCUACGGGAGGCAGCAGUCGGGAAUUUUGGGU
RNAcentral lists this ribosomal RNA (345 nucleotides) under uncultured bacterium. Its description in RNAcentral is "bacterial SSU rRNA". It matches the Rfam family "Bacterial small subunit ribosomal RNA", at positions 32 to 369 of the family's 1533-position model. The record is from RNAcentral.